RNAcentral lists this ribosomal RNA (147 nucleotides) under uncultured bacterium. RNAcentral's name for it is "partial 16S ribosomal RNA". It matches the Rfam family "Bacterial small subunit ribosomal RNA", at positions 332 to 491 of the family's 1533-position model. The record is from RNAcentral.
AGCACUCCUACGGGAGGCAGCAGUGGGGAAUAUUGCACAAUGGGGGNAAGCCUGAUGCAGCAACGCCGNGUGGGGGNNGAAGGCCUUCGGGUUCUAAACCUCUUUUGGCAGGGAAGAAGNGAAAGUGACGGUACCUGCAGAAAAAGC